GUAGCAAAAUAAUUUGUUUUUUAAUUGAAAACGAGUAUGAAUGGUUUAAUGAAUAUUUUUAUUUUUACGUAAUUAUAUUAAGUUUUAAGUUAAGUAAAAAUACUUAAAUAAAUAAAAGGGACGAUAAGACCCUAAAAUCUUUAUUUUUAUAUUUUUUAAAACAAUAAAGUUUAUAAUUGAAUUAAUCAUAAAAUUUAAUUGGGGUAAUUAUUUUAUUAAAAUUAAAAUUUUUAAGACUUUAUUAAAAGAAUUUAAGGUCUUAUAUAUAUAGACAGUUAGAUUAAGUUACUUUAGGGAUAACAGCGUAAUAUUUUUAGAAAGGUCUUAUUAAUAAAAAUGAUUGCGACCUCGAUGUUGAAUUAAAAAAUCUAUAUAAUGCAUAAGGUAUAUAAGAAAGUUUGUUCAACUUUUAAAUUUUU
Molecule: ribosomal RNA, 419 nt
Filed under: Paramoera relicta
Lineage: Eukaryota; Metazoa; Arthropoda; Malacostraca; Amphipoda; Pontogeneiidae
Description: partial 16S ribosomal RNA
Source: RNAcentral